GUGAACUGAUCAUUUAUUUUACUUGUAAAGCGCGUCUUAUGGAACCAUCCACGUUUUUUUUUUGGACAUUUUGAUUGAUAGAAACCUAAAUUUCCGAUAUAGAAACUUUUCGAAAAUGGGUCAAAUGGGAGCCGAGAACAACAG
Sander lucioperca (pikeperch) is the source of this 144-nucleotide long non-coding RNA. RefSeq lists it as uncharacterized. The record is from RefSeq and is a predicted model, not a curated record. The transcript is spliced from 3 exons. Lineage: Eukaryota; Metazoa; Chordata; Actinopteri; Perciformes; Percidae.